UGCAGUCGAGCGACAGAAGGGAGCUUGCUCCCGGAUGUUAGCGGCGGACGGGUGAGUAACACGUGGGUAACCUGCCUGUAAGACUGGGAUAACUCCGGGAAACCGGAGCUAAUACCGGAUAGUUCCUUGAACCGCAUGGUUCAAGGAUGAAAGACGGUUUCGGCUGUCACUUACAGAUGGACCCGCGGCGCAUUAGCUAGUUGGUGGGGUAAUGGCUCACCAAGGCGACGAUGCGUAGCCGACCUGAGAGGGUGAUCGGCCACACUGGGACUGAGACACGGCCCAGACUCCUACGGGAGGCAGCAGUAGGGAAUCUUCCGCAAUGGACGAAAGUCUGACGGAGCAACGCCGCGUGAGUGAUGAAGGUUUUCGGAUCGUAAAGCUCUGUUGUUAGGGAAGAACAAGUGCGAGAGUAACUGCUCGCACCUUGACGGUACCUAACCAGAAAGCCACGGCUAACUACGUGCCAGCAGCCGCGGUAAUACGUAGGUGGCAAGCGUUGUCCGGAAUUAUUGGGCGUAAAGGGCUCGCAGGCGGUUUCUUAAGUCUGAUGUGAAAGCCCCCGGCUCAACCGGGGAGGGUCAUUGGAAACUGGGAAACUUGAGUGCAGAAGAGGAGAGUGGAAUUCCACGUGUAGCGGUGAAAUGCGUAGAGAUGUGGAGGAACACCAGUGGCGAAGGCGACUCUCUGGUCUGUAACUGACGCUGAGGAGCGAAAGCGUGGGGAGCGAACAGGAUUAGAUACCCUGGUAGUCCACGCCGUAAACGAUGAGUGCUAAGUGUUAGGGGGUUUCCGCCCCUUAGUGCUGCAGCUAACGCAUUAAGCACUCCGCCUGGGGAGUACGGUCGCAAGACUGAAACUCAAAGGAAUUGACGGGGGCCCGCACAAGCGGUGGAGCAUGUGGUUUAAUUCGAAGCAACGCGAAGAACCUUACCAGGUCUUGACAUCCUCUGACAACCCUAGAGAUAGGGCUUUCCCUUCGGGGACAGAGUGACAGGUGGUGCAUGGUUGUCGUCAGCUCGUGUCGUGAGAUGUUGGGUUAAGUCCCGCAACGAGCGCAACCCUUGAUCUUAGUUGCCAGCAUUUAGUUGGGCACUCUAAGGUGACUGCCGGUGACAAACCGGAGGAAGGUGGGGAUGACGUCAAAUCAUCAUGCCCCUUAUGACCUGGGCUACACACGUGCUACAAUGG
RNAcentral lists this ribosomal RNA (1191 nucleotides) under bacterium. RNAcentral describes it as "bacterial SSU rRNA". It matches the Rfam family "Bacterial small subunit ribosomal RNA", at positions 56 to 1233 of the family's 1533-position model. The record is from RNAcentral.